AUGGCGACCGGCGCACGGGUGAGUAACGCGUAUGCAACCUGCCCGAUACCGGGGUAUAGCCCAUGGAAACGUGGAUUAACACCCCAUAGUACUUUUAUCCUGCCUGGGAUGUGAGUUAAAUGUUCAAGGUAUCGGAUGGGCAUGCGUCCUAUUAGUUAGUUGGCGGGGUAACAGCCCACCAAGACGAUGAUAGGUAGGGGUUCUGAGAGGAAGGUCCCCCACAUUGGAACUGGGACACGGUCCAA
This 245-nucleotide ribosomal RNA is filed under the name uncultured bacterium. RNAcentral's name for it is "partial 16S ribosomal RNA". It matches the Rfam family "Bacterial small subunit ribosomal RNA", at positions 88 to 334 of the family's 1533-position model. The record is from RNAcentral.